Molecule: long non-coding RNA, 1362 nt
Organism: Carassius gibelio (silver crucian carp)
Lineage: Eukaryota; Metazoa; Chordata; Actinopteri; Cypriniformes; Cyprinidae
Exons: 3
Source: RefSeq, a predicted model, not a curated record
CUCCUGUGCACACUCACACGCACGUGUGCACACUCACACGCAUAUGCAGUCAAAACACACAGACGCACACGAACUGGCUGGAAAACUAUUUUUAUUCAGGCUAGUGAUACCUUGUUCCUAAAAAGACAAAUGAUUUCACGGGUUAUUUCGUUUGGAUGUAUUUCUUGUUUUUAUCGAUGACUGGCUUCCUUUUUGUCACGCUUUAGACUGAUGUACGGUCACAUUGGAUUUGAAAACGACAUCCUUUCUUCCAUAGAUCCACGCUACCUGAAAGAAGGCCGCCUUCUGAAUCCAACGAUACCAGUUAUGUGCACAUCGGACCUACGCUUCAAAAGAUACGGACAGUUUGAAAUUGCUGCAAAUGUACUGUGCCCACAGCUCACUGGCUCUGCUUCGGUGACAUCACUGAAGUUUCACAUCUGACCCGGACCCUCACUUACUUCGAGUCCUUUUGCAAUGGCUGAACAAGCUGAGAGGAGGUAAUAUGUGUGUUUUUGUUUUACAAUUGCAUGUCUUUGUUUAACAGUUUAAACUGCAGUGUAAAUAAACUGUAAACAAAUGCUUUCCUUGCUUAGUAUAUUGUUUCCUGUCCGGAUAUCUAUAAGCUCAGUCAUCAAGAGGUUCACUGUCAUUCACGUGUAGUCAAGCGUAAGAUGUUGUUUAUUGUUUUAUGGAAAAGAAUACAAAUGAACCUAGCUGUUGGGUAAAGAAAGCUGAAUGUUAUUUGUCAAUGGGCUAAGCUAAACCAAAAAACGUGUUUGCACUGGAAUGUGUGCGUUAAAAUUGUGUUAUGAAAUGUAUUCCUGUUUUGAUAGCAAAGUUAGAGUGAUUUUUCAAGUUUUCAAGACUGUCUGUGCCUUUACAAAAACACUCUGCACUUUGAAGACCCAUUGACACCAUUACACAAUGGAAAUGCUAAUGGCACAGGUCUCGCUCUGCUGCUGAUGGCUGUUUUUUGUUGUUUGCCUUUCUAAAUUUCUUUAACUCAUGUCUGAUUCUUUAAAAUCAUCUGUCAAUUCUCCGUCAUCGGUUAGGAACCUAGGUGUGCUAUUUGAUUGCAAUCUUUCCUUAGAAAGCCACGUUUCUAGCAUUUGUAAAACUGCAUUUUUCCAUCUCAAAAAUAUAUCUAAAUUACGGCCUAUGCUCUCAAUGUCAAAUGCAGAAAUGUUAAUCCAUGCAUUUAUGACCUCAAGGUUAGAUUAUUGUAAUGCUCUAUUGGAUGGUUGUUCUGCACGCUUAGUAAACAAACUACAGCUAGUCCAAAAUGCAGCAACAAGAGUUCUUACUAGAACCAGGAAGUAUAUGACCAUACUAGCCCUGUCCUGUCAACACUGCACUGGCUCCCUAUCAAACAUCGUAUAG